This 301-nucleotide ribosomal RNA is filed under the name uncultured bacterium. RNAcentral describes it as "partial 16S ribosomal RNA". It matches the Rfam family "Bacterial small subunit ribosomal RNA", at positions 509 to 808 of the family's 1533-position model. The record is from RNAcentral.
CAGUAGCCGCGGGAAUACGUAGGUCCCGAGCGUUGUCCGGAAUUAUUGGGCGUAAAGCGCGCGCAGGCGGAUCAGUUAGUCUGUCUUAAAAGUUCGGGGCUUAACCCCGUGAUGGGAUGGAAACUGCUGAUCUAGAGUAUCGGAGAGGAAAGUGGAAUUCCUAGUGUAGCGGUGAAAUGCGUAGAUAUUAGGAAGAACACCAGUGGCGAAGGCGACUUUCUGGACGAAAACUGACGCUGAGGCGCGAAAGCGUGGGGAGCGAACAGGAUUAGAUACCCCCGUAGUCCCUGUCUCUUAUACA